AUGGUCUGUGGGGUCAAACCAGGAACACAGCUUGGGCUCAGGGAGUGGGCAUCAAUCUCAUGGAUCAGUUGGUAGGCUGCUGAAUAAUAUGAACAAACAUUCAUGGUGUCCCAGGUGCCUUCCUGAUAAGUUGUUAAGUUGAACCUACCCUCAAUCUGUGCAGGGAACUCACCAAUAAUGGGAGAUAUGUUACAGAAUCUGAAACUAAGAGUUAAAGCUGAAAGACAUUGACAUGGAGUGAUCCAGUGUGUACAGGCCUGUGAAACAGCACAGGGCAGGAAGCUAAUGUGACAAAAACAAUAACAUUUAUCACUUACCUGCUGUGAUUCUGAAGGAGAAUUUCAGAAGAUUUGUGGUUUUCAG
This is a long non-coding RNA of Hemicordylus capensis (graceful crag lizard), 363 nucleotides long. RefSeq lists it as uncharacterized. The transcript is spliced from 3 exons. NCBI's taxonomy places the organism in Eukaryota, Metazoa, Chordata, Lepidosauria, Squamata, Cordylidae. The record is from RefSeq and is a predicted model, not a curated record.